This 253-nucleotide ribosomal RNA is filed under the name uncultured bacterium. Its description in RNAcentral is "partial 16S ribosomal RNA". It matches the Rfam family "Bacterial small subunit ribosomal RNA", at positions 524 to 776 of the family's 1533-position model. The record is from RNAcentral.
UACGUAGGGUGCGAGCGUUGUCCGGAAUUAUUGGGCGUAAAGGGCUCGUAGGCGGUCUGUCGCGUCGAAAGUGAAAACCCAGGGCUUAACCCUGGGCCUGCUUCCGAUACGGGCAGACUAGAGGUAUGCAGGGGAGAACGGAAUUCCUGGUGUAGCGGUGAAAUGCGCAGAUAUCAGGAGGAACACCAGUGGCGAAGGCGAGUCCCUGGACAACACCUGACACUGAGGCACGAAAGCUAGGGGAGCAAACAGG